Molecule: ribosomal RNA, 439 nt
Filed under: uncultured bacterium
Lineage: Bacteria
Description: partial 16S ribosomal RNA
Rfam family: Bacterial small subunit ribosomal RNA
Source: RNAcentral
CUACGGGCCGCAGCAGUGGGGAAUAUUGGACAAUGGGGGCAACCCUGAUCCAGCCAUGCCGCGUGAGUGAUGAAGGCCUUCGGGUUGUAAAGCUCUUUUGGCGGGGACGAUGAUGACGGUACCCGCAGAAUAAGCCCCGGCUAACUUCGUGCCAGCAGCCGCGGUAAGACGAAGGGGGCUAGCGUUGUUCGGAAUUACUGGGCGUAAAGCGAGUGUAGGUGGUUGUCCAAGUUGGAUGUGAAAGCCUUGAGCUCAACUCAAGAAAUGCAUUCAGGACUGGAUGACUAGAGGACCGGAGAGGAUAGUGGAAUUCCCAGUGUAGUGGUGAAAUACGUAGAGAUUGGGAAGAACACCAGUGGCGAAGGCGGCUAUCUGGACGGUUUCUGACACUAAGACUCGAAAGCGUGGGGAGCAAACAGGAUUAGAUACCCCCGUAGUC